Molecule: non-coding RNA, 1011 nt
Organism: Odocoileus virginianus texanus
Lineage: Eukaryota; Metazoa; Chordata; Mammalia; Artiodactyla; Cervidae
Source: RefSeq, a predicted model, not a curated record
AUGGAAACCAUGUCUCUUGCAGCAUGUCCUGCACUAGCAGUGGCCAAUUUCAAGCUACCAAUGUGAUAUCAGUGAGCUUGCAGAAUUCAUGAAAAUUUAAGUCAACUCUAGUGAGCAGAGCAAACUGACUCCAGCUCCCACUGCACCAACUUCACCCAUUUUCCAUCACCCAUUCACCAUCUGAAGAGGUUGCUUUCACUUAAUUCUUCAGACGUGGAAGUCAUACAGGACAGCAAAAGUAAGAAAUAAGGUUCCCAGACAAAAACCAGUGCUUUAUCCAUGAAACCACAUUAUUUGUUUCUACUAAGAUGCAAACUAUUUCUGGUUAUCAUCUUCACCAAGUAGAAGCAUCAAGAACACUGAAAGAAGCCAUAUGCUCAGUCUGCUAUUUUCAACUCAGAAGGUUCCACAUCCUUAGAGGUUGGAGAGAAGAAGAAAAAGAGCUUCCUUUAUCCAACUGGACAUUGGGGAUCCACACGCUUUAUUCACAGUGGUCUCUCCAGGACCUUUCAUGGAGACUGGCACUUAUGCACUGGAUAAAUGCAUGUGAGAUUUUACAGAGACAUCAUGGAGUCUGGAAGGAAGGGUUUUUAGGGAAUGGCUUCAUCCAAGAAUAAGAAUUCAGGAAGAACACAGCCUCAGGAACAAUGCAGAAAGUUCGAAUGCCAGGAACAUGCACUGUUGACCCAUGCAUGCUGGACAAAAUGCUCUUUACACCACCCUGAAACACAAGGUGUUGGUUUACAGAGUCUAUGUGUUCUCUGUGGCUGGAUCUCUCCUGCAAAGUACAUGAUCUGAAAGCCUCUCCUUUCUCUAUAACAUACAGACCUGCUGUUGUCUCCACAUCCUCAGCCACUCACACUUCUCAGAUCUUUCAUUUCUGCACAAAUCGCAAUCCUCGAGAGGCCUCCAGGUAUGUGUUCAAGCCAGCACAGCUUUGCUGGAGACCACAAAGCAGAAGAAACCCAUAGAAAGCUGCCAAACACCCAAUAAAAUAAAACUGACUGAGCA